RNAcentral lists this ribosomal RNA (1141 nucleotides) under Candidatus Synechococcus spongiarum. Its description in RNAcentral is "bacterial SSU rRNA". It matches the Rfam family "Bacterial small subunit ribosomal RNA", at positions 376 to 1533 of the family's 1533-position model. Lineage: Bacteria; Bacillati; Cyanobacteriota; Cyanophyceae; Synechococcales; Synechococcaceae. The record is from RNAcentral.
CGAAAGCCUGACGGAGCAACGCCGCGUGAGGGAUGGAGGCCUUUGGGCUGUAAACCUCUUUUCUCAAGGAAGAAGAUCUGACGGUACUUGAGGAAUAAGCCACGGCUAAUUCCGUGCCAGCAGCCGCGGUAAUACGGGAGUGGCAAGCGUUAUCCGGAAUUAUUGGGCGUAAAGCGUCCGCAGGCGGCCGUUUAAGUCUGUUGUUAAAUCGUGGAGCUCAACUCCAUCACGGCAAUGGAAACUGUUCGGCUUGAGUAUGGUAGGGGCAGAGGGAAUUUCCGGUGUAGCGGUGAAAUGCGUAGAUAUCGGGAAGAACACCAGUGGCGAAAGCGCUCUGCUGGGCCAUUACUGACGCUCAUGGACGAAAGCCAGGGGAGCGAAAGGGAUUAGAUACCCCUGUAGUCCUGGCCGUAAACGAUGAACACUAGAUGUUGGGGGAAUCGACCCCCUCGGUGUCGUAGCUAACGCGUUAAGUGUUCCGCCUGGGGAGUACGCACGCAAGUGUGAAACUCAAAGGAAUUGACGGGGGCCCGCACAAGCGGUGGAGUAUGUGGUUUAAUUCGAUGCAACGCGAAGAACCUUACCAAGGCUUGACAUCCUGCGAAUCUCUAAGAAAUUAGAGAGUGCCUUCGGGAACGCAGUGACAGGUGGUGCAUGGCUGUCGUCAGCUCGUGUCGUGAGAUGUUGGGUUAAGUCCCGCAACGAGCGCAACCCACGUUUUUAGUUGCCAGCAUUCAGUUGGGCACUCUAGAAAGACUGCCGGUGACAAACCGGAAGAAGGUGUGGACGACGUCAAGUCAUCAUGCCCCUUACGCCUUGGGCUACACACGUACUACAAUGCUGCGGACAAAGAGUAGCGAUCUUGCGAAAGUUAGCUAAUCUCAUAAACCGUGGCUCAGUUCAGAUCGUAGGCUGCAACUCGCCUACGUGAAGGAGGAAUCGCUAGUAAUCGCAGGUCAGCAUACUGCGGUGAAUACGUUCCCGGGCCUUGUACACACCGCCCGUCACACCAUGGAAGUUGGCCAUGCCCGAAGUCGUUACUCUAACCUUUUGGAAGAGGGCGCCGAAGGCAGGGCUAAUGACUGGGGUGAAGUCGUAACAAGGUAGCCGUAGCGGAAGCUGCGGCUGGAUCACCUCCUAA